Molecule: ribosomal RNA, 469 nt
Filed under: uncultured bacterium
Lineage: Bacteria
Description: partial 16S ribosomal RNA
Rfam family: Bacterial small subunit ribosomal RNA
Source: RNAcentral
GACGAACGCUGGCGGCGUGCUUAACACAUGCAAGUCGAACGGAAAGGCCCUGCUUGCAGGGUGCUCGAGUGGCGAACGGGUGAGUAACACGUGGGUGAUCUGCCCCUUACUUUGGGAUAAGCCUGGGAAACUGGGUCUAAUACUGGAUAGGACCAUGCUGUAGGUGGUGUGGUGGAAAGAUUAGUUUCGGUAAGGGAUGAGCUCGCGGCCUAUCAGCUUGUUGGUGGGGUAAUGGCCUACCAAGGCGUCGACGGGUAGCCGGCCUGAGAGGGUGGACGGCAACAUUGGGACUGAGAUACGGCCCAGACUCCUACGGGAGGCAGCAGUGGGGAAUAUUGCACAAGGGGCGCAAGCCUGAUGCAGCGACGCCGCGUGGGGGAUGACGGCCUUCGGGUUGUAAACUCCUUUCAGCCAUGACGAAGCCCUUGUGGUGACGGUAGUGGUAGAAGAAGCACCGGCUAACUACGUG